AACGAACGCUGGCGGCAGGCUUAACACAUGCAAGUCGAACGCCCCGCAAGGGGAGUGGCAGACGGGUGAGUAACGCGUGGGAAUCUACCCAGAACUUCGGAACAACUGAGGGAAACUUCAGCUAAUACCGGAUACGCCCUACGGGGGAAAGAUUUAUCGGUUUUGGAUGAGCCCGCGUUGGAUCAGCUAGUUGGUGGGGUAAUGGCCUACCAAGGCGACGAUCCAUAGCUGGCCUGAGAGGAUGAUCAGCCACACUGGGACUGAGACACGGCCCAGACUCCUACGGGAGGCAGCAGUGGGGAAUAUUGGACAAUGGGCGAAAGCCUGAUCCAGCCAUGCCGCGUGAGUGAUGAAGGCCUUAGGGUUGUAAAGCUCUUUCAGUAGGGAAGAUAAUGACGGUACCUACAGAAGAAGCCCCGGCUAACUUCGUGCCAGCCGCCGCGGUAA
Molecule: ribosomal RNA, 447 nt
Filed under: uncultured bacterium
Lineage: Bacteria
Description: partial 16S ribosomal RNA
Rfam family: Bacterial small subunit ribosomal RNA
Source: RNAcentral